This is an RNA transcript of Sorghum bicolor (sorghum), 1626 nucleotides long. It is a transcript of the gene named reticulocalbin-2, with no coding region annotated. Lineage: Eukaryota; Viridiplantae; Streptophyta; Magnoliopsida; Poales; Poaceae. The record is from RefSeq and is a predicted model, not a curated record. The transcript has 8 exons.
GGACUACUGGGAAAUCCGACUACUGAAGUGUGACCCCUUCUCAAGAGAAAAGCAGGGAAAAAGAAAACAGAGAGCCGGAGACGCGACUCAUCGGCCAUGGCGAAGCCGGCGGCGGCGGCGACGAGGAAGCCCUCUGCGGCGUCGACCGUCGCACUGACACUGGCUCUGGCCCUGGCCUCGGCUGGCCUCCUCUUCCUCCUACUCCGCCUCUCUCCCUCCUCCCCGUCCCCCACCCCGCACCCGCACCGCCGCCUCCGCCUCCGCGCCCGCGCGCACGUGCACCACCACCAGAUCCCAUUCGACCCUGUCGUCGCGGACAUCGAGCGCCGCAUCGAAGACCGCGAGUGGGAGCGCCUCGCCGCCGCGGGGCUGCACGCGCCGGGCAUGGAGGCGGCGCCGGUCCCAGAGGAUCUCACCGACGGCGAGGCCGACGCCGACGAGGACUACAUCAACGACGCCGCGCGCUUCAACGUCACGCAUCGCGUGGAGGCGCUGUUCCCAAAGAUCGACGUCGACCCUGCCGAUGGCGCCGUCACGGGCGCCGAGCUGGCCGCGUGGAACCUCGCGAAUGCGCGGCGGGAGGUGCUGCACCGCACCGCCCGGGAGCUCGAGCUGCACGACCGCGAUCACGACGGCCGCGUCGCCUUCGGCGAGUACGAGCGGCCCAGCUGGGCCUGGCGUUUCGACGAUCAUAACUCAACUAAUGAUGGAGUGGGAUGGUGGAAGGAGGAGCAUUUUAACGCUGCAGAUAUGGAUGGUGAUGGCUUUCUGAAUCUUACUGAGUUUAAUGACUUUUUACAUCCAGCUGAUACAACCAACCCAAAGCUAAUAAAUUGGUUGUGCAAAGAAGAAGUCAGGGAAAGAGAUAAAGACAACGAUGGAAAGCUCAAUUUCCAAGAGUUCUUCAGUGGAUUAUUUUAUUCCAUUCGACACUAUGAUGACGAAGGCAUAACAGAUGACACUGGUGGCUCUGAUGCACCAGCUAAAAAGUCAUUUUCACACCUUGAUCUGGAUAAUGAUGGGCUCUUAUCAGCAGAUGAGCUAAAGCCUAUAAUUGAUAAUCUCCAUCCGUCAGAACACUUCUAUGCCAAGCAACAAGCUGACUAUGUAAUAUCUCAGGCUGACACAAACAAAGAUGGACAGUUGAACAUGAACGAGAUGAUCGAGAACCCCUAUGUCUUUUACAAUGCUUUAUUCACAGAAGAUGAUUAUGGGUUUCAUGACGAGCUCCGUUAGUUCCUUAGUCAACAGCACAAAGCUGUAUGGAAUCACCACUGUAGGAAGUCGGAAGACUGUUAUGCACUGCUGAGAUCAUUUCCAUGGUUUGUCUGAAUUCAUCCACCAUUUGAUGGUGAUUCCAUGUAAAAACAAGCAUGUUUUUAGAUGCACCUGUUCUAGAAGCUGUGUUCUUUUGUAGCCUUUAGCUCUUUUCUAGUUUGUUUUUUAAUCAUAUAUGCACACGGUGAGGAUGUGAGUGAGUUUUGGUUCUUUCAUUUUUUGAUUUGAUACGAAACUAGCUAGCUUCUGCAAUUUGUAAACCAAUACAAAACCAGGAAGGUUUUACUGUAAGCCAUGAAUUGUCCAUCCUGAACUUUAUAAUGUAAAGAUUGUGCAAACCUCGUGAAA